RNAcentral lists this ribosomal RNA (408 nucleotides) under uncultured bacterium. Its description in RNAcentral is "partial 16S ribosomal RNA". It matches the Rfam family "Bacterial small subunit ribosomal RNA", at positions 28 to 526 of the family's 1533-position model. The record is from RNAcentral.
GACGAACGCUGGCGGCGUGCCUAAUACAUGCAAGUCGAGCGAAGCGGCGGAUGGGUGAGAAACGCGUGGGUAACCUGCCCUUAAGUCUGGAAUACCAUUUGGAAACAGAUGCUAAUACCGGAUACUAAGGUAUGGAGCUGCGAUGCAUUAGCUAGUUGGUAAGGUAACGGCUUACCAAGGCGAUGAUGCAUAGCCGGGGUGAGAGACUGAUCGGCCACAUUGGAACUGAGACACGGCCCAAACUCCUACGGGAGGCAGCAGUAGGGAAUAUUCCACAAUGGACGAAAGUCUGAUGGAGCAACGCCGCGUGAGUGAAGAAGGUUUUCGGAUCGUAAAGCUCUGUUGUUGGUGAAGCGGUAAUCAACCAGAAAGCCACGGCUAACUACGUGCCAGCAGCCGCGGUAAUUC